GGGACGUGGCGGUUGACGG
RNAcentral lists this small nuclear RNA (19 nucleotides) under Arabidopsis thaliana (thale cress). Its description in RNAcentral is "snRNA_16816". Lineage: Eukaryota; Viridiplantae; Streptophyta; Magnoliopsida; Brassicales; Brassicaceae. The record is from RNAcentral.